Long non-coding RNA from Corvus hawaiiensis (hawaiian crow), 605 nucleotides. RefSeq lists it as uncharacterized. Lineage: Eukaryota; Metazoa; Chordata; Aves; Passeriformes; Corvidae. The transcript is spliced from 3 exons. The record is from RefSeq and is a predicted model, not a curated record.
UCCCUCUGGAGCAAGGGAGGAAACCGGGACCGGCCGAGCCGUGAUGGAGCCCGGGACCAGGCCAGGGUGCGUGGUGGGACCACUUCAGGAUGGACACUGGGGCCAGUUCAGAAGAGACUCCGGGAGGACUUCAAGGAGAGGAUGCUGGCACCAAUUCAGGGGGGAUACGGGGACCAGUUGAGGCCAAGAGAGGAUACUGCAACCAGUUCAGGCCAGGGAACAACAGUGGAAGCAACAUAUAUCAGAUCACACUAAGAAAUAAUGAAAAUGUUCUGUAGCCAACUGAGGAAGCUCUUACGGAAAUUGCUAAAAAUUGCAUUAUGGAUGGACGAAUAUUCAAUUGUGUCAUGUAUGGAUACACCUGCACAUGCUCUACCAACAGAAAAAUAAAAGCUCUGCAAUGGGAUUCGGAUGGAAGCAAAGCUGGGGCAAUAUCGUAUCUUCAGUGCAAGUUCAGCUCUUCGUCCUUUCUGAAUUCUGCAGCUGCUCUGAGCUUUUCAGUCUUCUCUUCAACAAUUUCAAUGCAGAAAAUGCAAGCCUGAUUAAUUCCAUUCGAGAAGACUCAAAAUGAAGCAUUAAUUGCUCACUACUCUGCACUUGUAAUA